AUUUAUUUUUCUUAGUUAUCUAGUUUUAGUUAGUUUUAUUAUUUAAUGUUAUUUAAAUACAUGUUCGUAUUUGUUUCUCUUUCGCAAUUUUUGUUUUUUUUCUUCCAAUGUUACAUUAUGAUUAUUUUAUUGAAGCUAUUUAUUUAUUUUAUUAUGUAAUAUCUAUUAUGCUCUCUACUGUUGCUGCCUACAUAAAUUAUUAAGAACAUAAUACAUUUAUGCACUAUUA
Molecule: long non-coding RNA, 229 nt
Filed under: Lathyrus oleraceus (garden pea)
Lineage: Eukaryota; Viridiplantae; Streptophyta; Magnoliopsida; Fabales; Fabaceae
Description: Pisum sativum (pea) long non-coding RNA (PSAT_LNC038212)
Source: RNAcentral